CAACUCUGGUUUCUCUUCAAUCACGCACAAGUUUUUCGCCUUUUACUAAGACUUCCGUGGAGAGCACGCUUACGAGUUCAACGUAUUUUUGGACGGGCUUUGCUCCCGGCAGAGCC
Molecule: small nuclear RNA, 116 nt
Filed under: Esox lucius (northern pike)
Lineage: Eukaryota; Metazoa; Chordata; Actinopteri; Esociformes; Esocidae
Description: U5 spliceosomal RNA
Rfam family: U5 spliceosomal RNA
About the family: U5 RNA is a component of both types of known spliceosome. The precise function of this molecule is unknown, though it is known that the 5' loop is required for splice site selection and p220 binding, and that both the 3' stem-loop and the Sm site are important for Sm protein binding and cap methylation.
Source: Rfam by way of RNAcentral